GACGAACGCUGGCGGCGUGCUUAACACAUGCAAGUCGAACGGAAAGGCCCUGCUUUUGUGGGGUGCUCGAGUGGCGAACGGGUGAGUAACACGUGAGUAACCUGCCCUUGACUUUGGGAUAACUUCAGGAAACUGGGGCUAAUACCGGAUAGGAGCUCCUGCUGCAUGGUGGGGGUUGGAAAGUUUCGGCGGUUGGGGAUGGACUCGCGGCUUAUCAGCUUGUUGGUGGGGUAGUGGCUUACCAAGGCUUUGACGGGUAGCCGGCCUGAGAGGGUGACCGGCCACAUUGGGACUGAGAGACGGCCCAGACUCCUACGGGAGGCAGCAGUGGAGAAUAUUGCACAAUGGGCGGAAGCCUGAUGCAGCAACGCCGCGUGCGGGAUGACGGCCUUCGGGUUGUAAACCGCUUUCGCAUGUGACGAAGCGUGAGUGACGGUAAUGGGUAAAGAAGCACCGGCUAACUACGUG
This 468-nucleotide ribosomal RNA is filed under the name uncultured bacterium. RNAcentral describes it as "partial 16S ribosomal RNA". It matches the Rfam family "Bacterial small subunit ribosomal RNA", at positions 28 to 507 of the family's 1533-position model. The record is from RNAcentral.